RNAcentral lists this ribosomal RNA (465 nucleotides) under uncultured bacterium. Its description in RNAcentral is "partial 16S ribosomal RNA". It matches the Rfam family "Bacterial small subunit ribosomal RNA", at positions 338 to 795 of the family's 1533-position model. The record is from RNAcentral.
CCUACGGGUGGCAGCAGUGGGGAAUAUUGCGCAAUGGGCGAAAGCCUGACGCAGCGACGCCGCGUGAGGGAUGAAGGUCUUCGGAUCGUAAACCUCUGUCAGCAGGGAAGAACGGUCACUGUGCUAAUCAGCAGUGAAUUGACGGUACCUGCAAAGGAAGCACCGGCUAACUCCGUGCCAGCAGCCGCGGUAAUACGGAGGGUGCGAGCGUUAAUCGGAAUUACUGGGCGUAAAGCGCUCGUAGGAGGUAUGUCAAGUCAAGGGGGAAAUCCCCGCGCUCAACGUGGGAACUGCAUUUGAAACUGGCAAACUGGAGUGUGUGAGAGGAUAGUGGAAUUCCAGGUGUAGGAGUGAAAUCCGUAGAUAUCUGGAGGAACAUCAGUGGCGAAGGCGACUAUCUGGCACAUAACUGACGCUGAGGAGCGAAAGCGUGGGUAGCAAACAGGAUUAGAUACCCCAGUAGUC